Molecule: ribosomal RNA, 464 nt
Filed under: uncultured bacterium
Lineage: Bacteria
Description: partial 16S ribosomal RNA
Rfam family: Bacterial small subunit ribosomal RNA
Source: RNAcentral
CUACGGGGUGCAGCAGUGGGGAAUAUUGGACAAUGGGCAAAAGCCUGAUCCAGCAAUGCCGCGUGUGUGAAGAAGGCCUGCGGGUUGUAAAGCACUUUCAGUAGGGAGGAAGGCAUUAACUUUAAUAGAGUUGAUGAUUGACGUUACCUACAGAAGAAGCACCGGCUAACUCUGUGCCAGCAGCCGCGGUAAUACAGAGGGUGCGAGCGUUAAUCGGAAUUACUGGGCGUAAAGGGUGCGUAGGUGGCAAGAUAAGUUAGGUGUGAAAUCCGCGGGCUUAACCUGAGAAUUGCGCUUCAUACUGUCUCGCUAGAGUACUAUAGAGGGUAGUGGAAUUUCCAGUGUAGCGGUGAAAUGCGUAGAUAUUGGAAGGAACACCAGUGGCGAAGGCGACUACCUGGAUAGAUACUGACACUGAGGCACGAAAGCGUGGGUAGCAAACAGGAUUAGAUACCCGCGUAGUC